This 460-nucleotide ribosomal RNA is filed under the name uncultured bacterium. RNAcentral describes it as "partial 16S ribosomal RNA". It matches the Rfam family "Bacterial small subunit ribosomal RNA", at positions 338 to 795 of the family's 1533-position model. The record is from RNAcentral.
CCUACGGGUGACAGCAGUGAGGAAUAUUGGUCAAUGGGCGAGAGCCUGAACCAGCCAAGUCGCGUGAAGGAUGACGGCCCUACGGGUUGUAAACUUCUUUUGUCAGGGAGCAAUUGAGUCCACGUGUGGGCUUAGCGAGAGUACCUGAAGAAAAAGCAGCGGCUAACUCCGUGCCAGCAGCCGCGGUAAUACGGAGGAUGCGAGCGUUAUCCGGAUUUGUUGGGGUUAAAGGGUGCGUAGGCGGAAUAUCAGGUCAGCGGUAAAAAUUCGGGGCUAAACCCCGUCGUGCCGUUGAAACUGAUGUUCUUGAGUAGGCGAGAGGUAUGCGGAAUGCGUGGUGUAGCGGUGAAAUGCAUAGAGAUCACGAAGAAUUCAGAUUGCGAAGGCAGCAUACCGGCGCCCAACUGACGCUGAAGCACGAAAGCGUGGGUAUCGAACAGGAUUAGAUACCCUGGUAGUC